AAGCGUGCGCAGGCGGUUUUGUAAGACUGUCGUGAAAUCCCCGGGCUCAACCUGGGAAUGGCGAUGGUGACUGCAAGGCUAGAGUUUGGCAGAGGGGGGUAGAAGUUCCACGUGUAGCAGUGAAAUGCGUAGAUAUGUGGAGGAACACCGAUGGCGAAGGCAGCCCCCUGGGUCAAAACUGACGCUCAUGCACGAAAGCGUGGGGAGCAAACAGGAUUAGAUACCCCAGU
Molecule: ribosomal RNA, 230 nt
Filed under: uncultured bacterium
Lineage: Bacteria
Description: partial 16S ribosomal RNA
Rfam family: Bacterial small subunit ribosomal RNA
Source: RNAcentral